CCUACGGGGUGCAGCAGUGAGGAAUAUUGGUCAAUGGACGAGAGUCUGAACCAGCCAAGUAGCGUGAAGGAUGACUGCCCUAUGGGUUGUAAACUUCUUUUAUAUGGGAAUAAAAUGUUCCACGUGUGGGAUUUUGUAUGUACCAUAUGAAUAAGGAUCGGCUAACUCCGUGCCAGCAGCCGCGGUAAUACGGAGGAUCCGAGCGUUAUCCGGAUUUAUUGGGUUUAAAGGGAGCGUAGGUGGAUUGUUAAGUCAGUUGUGAAAGUUUGCGGCUCAACCGUAAAAUUGCAGUUGAAACUGGCAGUCUUGAGUACAGUAGAGGUGGGCGGAAUUCGUGGUGUAGCGGUGAAAUGCUUAGAUAUCACGAAGAACUCCGAUUGCGAAGGCAGUUCACUGGACUGCAACUGACACUGAGGCUCGAAAGUGUGGGUAUCAAACAGGAUUAGUACCCCUGGUAGUC
This 460-nucleotide ribosomal RNA is filed under the name uncultured bacterium. RNAcentral describes it as "partial 16S ribosomal RNA". It matches the Rfam family "Bacterial small subunit ribosomal RNA", at positions 338 to 795 of the family's 1533-position model. The record is from RNAcentral.